UUGGGUGGCCUGGGCGGCGUUGGUCCGGUGCGUCCUGUUCUACAGCUAUGGCCGGGCCAGCUGCAGCUUUCCGCCGCUUGGGCGCCUUGUCCGGAGCUGCGGCCUUAGGCUUCGCUUCCUACGGGGCGCACGGCGCCCAAUUCCCAGAUGCCUACGGGAAGGAGGCGGCCUGAGCACGCUCACUGACACCGUUUGGCGGCCUGUCACCCGCGUGGCUGGGGCACCUGCAGAAACUGCUGUCGCUGCGAGGUGCCCGUGUGGGUCACCGCUGUGCCAGGGAGAGAAGACGGCGAGGUCGCCCCUGGGAGGCAGAAGGCGAGCCAGGAGCCAGUCCUGGAAGCCAAUGAAGGCGCCGCCCAAGAGACCCUGGGCCGGCGCCGGGCGCAGCUGCCUCUCCGUCUUUGUGUCUGUCUCUGUGUCUGUCUGGCUAUCUCCGAGUUUGCCUCCGCUUCCAGAACUAAGCCACCCAGACACCAUCAUCUCGAAAACCCCAGCCCUUCUCCCAUGGCAGGCUACUUGCCCCCCAAAGGCUACGCCCCUUCGCCCCCACCUCCCUACCCUGUCACCCCUGGGUACCCGGAGCCGGCGCUACAUCCUGGGCCCGGGCAGGCGCCAGUGCCCGCCCAGGUACCUGCCCCAGCUCCCGGCUUCGCCCUCUUCCCCUCGCCUGGCCCCGUGGCCUUGGGGUCUGCUGCCCCCUUCUUGCCACUGCCAGGGGUGCCUUCUGGCCUCGAAUUCCUGGUGCAGAUUGAUCAGAUUUUGAUUCACCAGAAGGCUGAGCGAGUGGAAACGUUCCUAGGCUGGGAGACCUGUAAUCGGUAUGAACUGCGCUCUGGGGCCGGGCAGCCCCUGGGUCAGGCGGCCGAGGAGAGCAACUGCUGCGCCCGUCUGUGCUGUGGCGCCCGCCGGCCGCUGCGUGUCCGCCUGGCCGACCCCGGGGACCGUGAGGUGCUGCGUUUGCUCCGCCCGCUGCACUGUGGCUGCAGCUGCUGCCCCUGUGGCCUCCAGGAGAUGGAAGUACAGGCUCCACCAGGCACCACCAUUGGCCACGUGCUACAGACCUGGCAUCCCUUCCUCCCCAAGUUCUCCAUCCAGGAUGCCGAUCGCCAGACAGUCUUGCGAGUGGUGGGGCCCUGCUGGACCUGUGGCUGUGGCACAGACACCAACUUUGAGGUGAAGACUCGGGAUGAAUCCCGCAGUGUGGGCCGCAUCAGCAAGCAGUGGGGGGGCCUGGUCCGAGAAGCCCUCACAGAUGCAGAUGACUUUGGCCUACAGUUCCCGCUGGACCUGGAUGUGAGGGUGAAGGCUGUGCUGCUGGGAGCCACAUUCCUCAUUGACUACAUGUUCUUUGAGAAGCGAGGAGGCGCUGGGCCCUCUGCCGUCACCAGUUAGAGGCCACCAUGGUGUGAGGAGACCAUCACCUCGACCAGAACUCCAGAUGGUCACCUGCCCUGGCCCCUCCUCUGGGCAGCCCCUUUCCUCCAUGUACACUGCAGGGGACAGAAGGGGGGCCCCAUCCCUACCCUACUCCCUGGCCGCCUGCCCCUGUGGUUCCCAAGGAGGGGUAUGUAUGAGAGCCGCUCUCCUGCUACCUCCCACCACUGUCCCAGCAGUCCCUCGGCACACAGGCAUAUCAGCUUUCACACUUUCCCCAUGCACUCUCUCCCACCCCCUUCCAGGGCCUCUGCUCCAAAGGAGGCCUCUGGAACCCAGGACUCUGGGGUUUUACAAGAGGGCUGGGGUGUGGAAGGGCAAGCUGCACCAAAGACGGUGGAUAUAGCCACCGCCCCCCCGCCGCUGCCUAGCAUCUGCUUGGCCAAUUAGUUCAGCCUCAGACCAUGGCACUUUGAGGGGGUCUCUACCUCCCCAUCAACAGCUGCAGGGGGACCCCAGUGCCAACUUCCUCUCCCACUAGGGCCCUGCCUUCAGCUGGUGCUUGCUGCGAUUCCUGUGCCUUAUGUAACUGCCCUUCCUUCCCUUGCCCUAGGAAAAAGGCUGCAUCUUUAUAUGUUACAUUCAUAUAAACUUUGUAACUUUUUGGACAUUGAAA
RNAcentral lists this long non-coding RNA (2050 nucleotides) under Homo sapiens (human). RNAcentral's name for it is "non-protein coding lnc-PLSCR3-1:7". The record is from RNAcentral. Lineage: Eukaryota; Metazoa; Chordata; Mammalia; Primates; Hominidae.